AGGACGAACGCUGGCGGCGUGCUUAACACAUGCAAGUCGAGCGGAAAGGCCCUUCGGGGUACUCGAGCGGCGAACGGGUGAGUAACACGUGAGUAACCUGCCCUUGGCUCUGGGAUAGCUCCGGGAAACCGGAAUUAAUACCGGAUAUGACUGCGGCCGACAUCGGCUGUGGUGGAAAGAUUUAUCGGCCAGGGAUGGGCUCGCGGCCUAUCAGCUUGUUGGUGGGGUAACGGCCUACCAAGGCGACGACGGGUAGCCGGCCUGAGAGGGCGACCGGCCACACUGGGACUGAGACACGGCCCAGACUCCUACGGGAGGCAGCAGUGGGGAAUAUUGCGCAAUGGGCGAAAGCCUGACGCAGCGACGCCGCGUGGGGGAUGAAGGCCUUCGGGUUGUAAACCCUUUCGGCAGGGACGAAGCGAAAGUGACGGUACCUGCAGAAGAAGCGCCGGCUAACUACGUGCCAGCAGCCGC
RNAcentral lists this ribosomal RNA (474 nucleotides) under uncultured bacterium. RNAcentral describes it as "SSU rRNA". It matches the Rfam family "Bacterial small subunit ribosomal RNA", at positions 26 to 518 of the family's 1533-position model. The record is from RNAcentral.